RNAcentral lists this ribosomal RNA (497 nucleotides) under uncultured bacterium. RNAcentral describes it as "partial 16S ribosomal RNA". It matches the Rfam family "Bacterial small subunit ribosomal RNA", at positions 28 to 507 of the family's 1533-position model. The record is from RNAcentral.
GAUGAACGCUGGCGGCGUGCCUAAUACAUGCAAGUCGAGCGAACGGACGAGAAGCUUGCUUCUCUGAUGUUAGCGGCGGACGGGUGAGUAACACGUGGAUAACCUACCUAUAAGACUGGGAUAACUUCGGGAAACCGGAGCUAAUACUGGAUGAUAUUUUGAACCGCAUGGUUCAAAAGUGAAAGACGGUCUUGCUGUCACUUAUAGAUGGAUCCGCGCUGCAUUAGCUAGUUGGUAAGGUAACGGCUUACCAAGGCAACGAUGCAUAGCCGACCUGAGAGGGUGAGCGGCCACACUGGAACUGAGACACGGUCCAGACUCCUACGGGAGGCAGCAGUAGGGAAUCUUCCGCAAUGGGCGAAAGCCUGACGGAGCAACGCCGCGUGAGUGAUGAAGGUCUUCGGAUCGUAAAACUCUGUUAUUAGGGAAGAACAUAUGUGUAAGUAACUGUGCACAUCUUGACGGUACCUAAUCAGAAAGCCACGGCUAACUACGUG